UGGGGAAUAUUGGGCAAUGGGCGAAAGCCUGACCCAGCAACGCCGCGUGAGGGAAGAAGGUCUUCGGAUUGUAAACCUCUGUCCUAUGGGACGAAACAAACGACGGUACCAUAGGAGGAAGCCCCGGCUAACUACGUGCCAGCAGCCGCGGUAAUCCGUAGGGGGCAAGCGUUGUCCGGAAUUACUGGGCGUAAAGGGUGCGUAGGCGGUUGCCUAAGUCAGAUGUGAAAUCCCCGGGCUUAACUCGGGUGGGGCAUGUGAAACGGGGUGGCUAGAGUGCAGGAGAGGGAAGCGGAAUUCCUAGUGUAGCGGUGAAAUGCGUAGAUAUUAGGAGGAACACCAGUGGCGAAGGCGGCUUUCUGGACUGUAACUGACGCUGAGGCACGAAAGCGUGGGGAGCAAACA
This 405-nucleotide ribosomal RNA is filed under the name uncultured prokaryote. RNAcentral describes it as "bacterial SSU rRNA". It matches the Rfam family "Bacterial small subunit ribosomal RNA", at positions 355 to 774 of the family's 1533-position model. The record is from RNAcentral.